GACGAACGCUGGCGGCGUGCUUAACACAUGCAAGUCGAACGGAAAGGCCCCUUCGGGGGUACUCGAGUGGCGCACGGGUGAGUAACACGUGAGUAACCUGCCCUUGACUUCGGGAUAACUUCAGGAAACUGGGGCUAAUACCGGAUAGGAAUCCUUGCUGCAUGGUGGGGGUUGGAAAGCUUCGGCGGUUUUGGAUGGACUCGCGGCUUAUCAGCUUGUUGGUGGGGUAGUGGCUUACCAAGGCUUUGACGGGUAGCCGGCCUGAGAGGGCGACCGGCCACAUUGGGACUGAGAUACGGCCCAGACUCCUACGGGAGGCAGCAGUGGGGAAUAUUGCACAAUGGGCGGAAGCCUGAUGCAGCAACGCCGCGUGCGGGAUGGCGGCCUUCGGGUUGUAAACCGCUUUCAGCAGGGGCGAAGCUUGUGGUGACGGUACCUGCAGAAGAAGCACCGGCUAACUACGUG
This 465-nucleotide ribosomal RNA is filed under the name uncultured bacterium. RNAcentral's name for it is "partial 16S ribosomal RNA". It matches the Rfam family "Bacterial small subunit ribosomal RNA", at positions 28 to 507 of the family's 1533-position model. The record is from RNAcentral.